GAGUUUGAUCAUGGCUCAGGACGAACGCUGGCGGCGUGCCUAAUACAUGCAAGUCGAACGCUUCUUUUCCACCGGACUUCGGUCCACCGGAAAAGAGGAGUGGCGGACGGGUGAGUAACACGUGGGUAACCUGCCCAUCAGCGGGGGAUAACAUUUGGAAACAGAUGCUAAUACCGCAUAGAUGUCAAAACCGCAUGGUUUUGACCGGAAAGACGCUUUCGGGUGUCGCUGAUGGAUGGACCCGCGGUGCAUUAGUUAGUUGGCGAGGUAACGGCUCACCAAGACGAUGAUGCAUAGCCGACCUGAGAGGGUGAUCGGCCCACUGGGACUGAGACACGGCCCAGACUCCUACGGGAGGCAGCAGUAGGGAAUCUUCGGCAAUGGACGAAAGUCUGACCGAGCAACGCCGCGUGAGUGAAGAAGGUUUUCGGAUCGUAAAACUCUGUUGUCAGAGAAGAACAGGGAUAAGAGUAACUGUUUAUCCCGUGACGGUAUCUGACCAGAAAGCCACGGCUAACUACGUGCCAGCAGCCGCGGUAAUACGUAGGUGGCAAGCGUUGUCCGGAUUUAUUGGGCGUAAAGCGAGCGCAGGCGGUCUUUUAAGUCUGAUGUGAAAGCCCCCGGCUUAACCGGGGAGGGUCAUUGGAAACUGGGAGACUUGAGUGCAGA
This 669-nucleotide ribosomal RNA is filed under the name uncultured Enterococcus sp. RNAcentral's name for it is "bacterial SSU rRNA". It matches the Rfam family "Bacterial small subunit ribosomal RNA", at positions 9 to 652 of the family's 1533-position model. Lineage: Bacteria; Bacillati; Bacillota; Bacilli; Lactobacillales; Enterococcaceae. The record is from RNAcentral.